This 402-nucleotide ribosomal RNA is filed under the name uncultured bacterium. RNAcentral describes it as "bacterial SSU rRNA". It matches the Rfam family "Bacterial small subunit ribosomal RNA", at positions 357 to 775 of the family's 1533-position model. The record is from RNAcentral.
GGGAAUAUUGCGCAAUGGAGGAAACUCUGACGCAGUGACGCCGCGUGCAGGAAGACGGUUUUCGGAUUGUAAACUGCUUUAGACAGGGAAGAAACAAGACAGUACCUGUAAAAUAAGCCCCGGCUAACUACGUGCCAGCCGCCGCGGUAAUACGUAGGGAGCAAGCGUUAUCCGGAUUUAUUGGGUGUAAAGGGUGCGUCGACGGAGAAGCAAGUGAGUUGUGAAAUCCCUCGGCUUAACUGAGGAACUGCAACUAAAACUACUUCCCUUGAGUGCUGGAGAGGAAAGUGGAAUUCAUAGUGUAGCGGUGAAAUGCGUAGAUAUUAGGAGGAACACCAGUGGCGAAGGCGACUUUCUGGACAGUAACUGACGUUGAGGCACGAAAGUGUGGGGAGCAAACAG